This 30-nucleotide non-coding RNA is filed under the name Rattus norvegicus (Norway rat). Lineage: Eukaryota; Metazoa; Chordata; Mammalia; Rodentia; Muridae. The record is from RNAcentral.
UACCUUGUGAAGACAGAAGCACAAACUCGA